GAUUGUGGAACCUCAUGCCAGCAAUCUUGGGAGAAGCGCAAGAGUUAAGGAAUCAGGACAGGGGGAAACGGUGGCUGUGAGUGCAACUCAUUAGCUGGUGGGUGGAAUGAAGCGGAUGCGCUGCUACUUGCAGAGGCUACAAAGCAAAAAUUUUGGGUCCCUGAAGAUAGAAAAUGAUAUUGGUCAAUGAACUAUAUUGAUAAAUUUCAUGCCCCAGAAUUAAUCAUUCCUGAGAGCAGCAACGAGAUUCCAGAGUGGGUAAAAGUCUUGGAACCUGCAAGAAAGCUACCCACAAAUGUAAGAACCAGGAUUAGGAAAUGUGCAUACGAGGCGUUGGAUAAAGGUCCGCCAGAGUGGGCGAAGAAGAUAUUGCGCAUUCUAUUAGUAAGGGCGGCCUACAAAGAAAUCUAUUGUUUCGGUGCUGACACGUGUGGCUGACGAAGUUUCACAGAGGAAACCUGUGGUGUUAAAAAUGGAAAGGCGUGUCAAAAAAAUGUCUGACAUUGUCAUGAAACAAUGUUAUUAUGUAUUGCGCCAUACUAUUCUUGAAGAUGAGGCAAAAACAUUCUGCAGUUUGCUUACCGUUAUGCUAAUGAGGAUGAUGGCAGCAUUCUUGGAUAUCCUACAAUGCUAUCUCGUGCCUUUGGUUUUUGAACCAUUGAUUUGAGGUUAGCAGUAGGCACUUACAUUGGAUCUGAUGAAGCUUUUCUGGAGGAUGUUCGUGAGGUUUGGCACAACAUACGCACUGCUUACAGAGACCAGCAAGAUUUGAUGCUUUUCGCUGAACAAUUAUCUGGAAAUCUUGAGUCGCUGGUGAUUAUUUUCCAUUGGUGCUUGAUCUUGUACAGAAAAUGAAGGAGUAUGGUAAUCCCUAAUGCUUAAGCGCCGCACCAAGGAAAUCGAUGAGUUUCUGUGUGCAAGGAGAUCCUUAAAGCUCCUUGAGACGAUGGUGGCUGCAGACUCUGUGGCUUCGACAAAAGCGAUGAAA
Molecule: long non-coding RNA, 988 nt
Organism: Papaver somniferum (opium poppy)
Lineage: Eukaryota; Viridiplantae; Streptophyta; Magnoliopsida; Ranunculales; Papaveraceae
Exons: 5
Source: RefSeq, a predicted model, not a curated record